This 2904-nucleotide ribosomal RNA is filed under the name Escherichia coli. RNAcentral's name for it is "23S ribosomal RNA". It matches the Rfam family "Bacterial large subunit ribosomal RNA". The record is from RNAcentral. Lineage: Bacteria; Pseudomonadati; Pseudomonadota; Gammaproteobacteria; Enterobacterales; Enterobacteriaceae.
GGUUAAGCGACUAAGCGUACACGGUGGAUGCCCUGGCAGUCAGAGGCGAUGAAGGACGUGCUAAUCUGCGAUAAGCGUCGGUGAGGUGAUAUGAACCGUUAUAACCGGCGAUUUCCGAAUGGGGAAACCCAGUGUGUUUCGACACACUAUCAUUAACUGAAUCCAUAGGUUAAUGAGGCGAACCGGGGGAACUGAAACAUCUAAGUACCCCGAGGAAAAGAAAUCAACCGAGAUUCCCCCAGUAGCGGCGAGCGAACGGGGAGGAGCCCAGAGCCUGAAUCAGUGUGUGUGUUAGUGGAAGCGUCUGGAAAGGCGCGCGAUACAGGGUGACAGCCCCGUACACAAAAAUGCACAUGCUGUGAGCUCGAUGAGUAGGGCGGGACACGUGGUAUCCUGUCUGAAUAUGGGGGGACCAUCCUCCAAGGCUAAAUACUCCUGACUGACCGAUAGUGAACCAGUACCGUGAGGGAAAGGCGAAAAGAACCCCGGCGAGGGGAGUGAAAAAGAACCUGAAACCGUGUACGUACAAGCAGUGGGAGCCUCUUAAUGGGGUGACUGCGUACCUUUUGUAUAAUGGGUCAGCGACUUAUAUUCUGUAGCAAGGUUAACCGAAUAGGGGAGCCGAAGGGAAACCGAGUCUUAACUGGGCGUUAAGUUGCAGGGUAUAGACCCGAAACCCGGUGAUCUAGCCAUGGGCAGGUUGAAGGUUGGGUAACACUAACUGGAGGACCGAACCGACUAAUGUUGAAAAAUUAGCGGAUGACUUGUGGCUGGGGGUGAAAGGCCAAUCAAACCGGGAGAUAGCUGGUUCUCCCCGAAAGCUAUUUAGGUAGCGCCUCGUGAAUUCAUCUCCGGGGGUAGAGCACUGUUUCGGCAAGGGGGUCAUCCCGACUUACCAACCCGAUGCAAACUGCGAAUACCGGAGAAUGUUAUCACGGGAGACACACGGCGGGUGCUAACGUCCGUCGUGAAGAGGGAAACAACCCAGACCGCCAGCUAAGGUCCCAAAGUCAUGGUUAAGUGGGAAACGAUGUGGGAAGGCCCAGACAGCCAGGAUGUUGGCUUAGAAGCAGCCAUCAUUUAAAGAAAGCGUAAUAGCUCACUGGUCGAGUCGGCCUGCGCGGAAGAUGUAACGGGGCUAAACCAUGCACCGAAGCUGCGGCAGCGACACUAUGUGUUGUUGGGUAGGGGAGCGUUCUGUAAGCCUGUGAAGGUGGCCUGUGAGGGUUGCUGGAGGUAUCAGAAGUGCGAAUGCUGACAUAAGUAACGAUAAAGCGGGUGAAAAGCCCGCUCGCCGGAAGACCAAGGGUUCCUGUCCAACGUUAAUCGGGGCAGGGUGAGUCGACCCCUAAGGCGAGGCCGAAAGGCGUAGUCGAUGGGAAACAGGUUAAUAUUCCUGUACUUGGUGUUACUGCGAAGGGGGGACGGAGAAGGCUAUGUUGGCCGGGCGACGGUUGUCCCGGUUUAAGCGUGUAGGCUGGUUUUCCAGGCAAAUCCGGAAAACCAAGGCUGAGGCGUGAUGACGAGGCACUACGGUGCUGAAGCGACAAAUGCCCUGCUUCCAGGAAAAGCCUCUAAGCAUCAGGUAACAUCAAAUCGUACCCCAAACCGACACAGGUGGUCAGGUAGAGAAUACCAAGGCGCUUGAGAGAACUCGGGUGAAGGAACUAGGCAAAAUGGUGCCGUAACUUCGGGAGAAGGCACGCUGAUAUGUAGGUGAAGCGACUUGCUCGUGGAGCUGAAAUCAGUCGAAGAUACCAGCUGGCUGCAACUGUUUAUUAAAAACACAGCACUGUGCAAACACGAAAGUGGACGUAUACGGUGUGACGCCUGCCCGGUGCCGGAAGGUUAAUUGAUGGGGUUAGCGGCAACGCGAAGCUCUUGAUCGAAGCCCCGGUAAACGGCGGCCGUAACUAUAACGGUCCUAAGGUAGCGAAAUUCCUUGUCGGGUAAGUUCCGACCUGCACGAAUGGCGUAAUGAUGGCCAGGCUGUCUCCACCCGAGACUCAGUGAAAUUGAACUCGCUGUGAAGAUGCAGUGUACCCGCGGCAAGACGGAAAGACCCCGUGAACCUUUACUAUAGCUUGACACUGAACAUUGAGCCUUGAUGUGUAGGAUAGGUGGGAGGCUUUGAAGUGUGGACGCCAGUCUGCAUGGAGCCGACCUUGAAAUACCACCCUUUAAUGUUUGAUGUUCUAACGUGGGCCCGUAAUCCGGGUUGCGGACAGUGUCUGGUGGGUAGUUUGACUGGGGCGGUCUCCUCCUAAAGAGUAACGGAGGAGCACGAAGGUUGGCUAAUCCUGGUCGGACAUCAGGAGGUUAGUGCAAUGGCAUAAGCCAGCUUGACUGCGAGCGUGACGGCGCGAGCAGGUGCGAAAGCAGGUCAUAGUGAUCCGGUGGUUCUGAAUGGAAGGGCCAUCGCUCAACGGAUAAAAGGUACUCCGGGGAUAACAGGCUGAUACCGCCCAAGAGUUCAUAUCGACGGCGGUGUUUGGCACCUCGAUGUCGGCUCAUCACAUCCUGGGGCUGAAGUAGGUCCCAAGGGUAUGGCUGUUCGCCAUUUAAAGUGGUACGCGAGCUGGGUUUAGAACGUCGUGAGACAGUUCGGUCCCUAUCUGCCGUGGGCGCUGGAGAACUGAGGGGGGCUGCUCCUAGUACGAGAGGACCGGAGUGGACGCAUCACUGGUGUUCGGGUUGUCAUGCCAAUGGCACUGCCCGGUAGCUAAAUGCGGAAGAGAUAAGUGCUGAAAGCAUCUAAGCACGAAACUUGCCCCGAGAUGAGUUCUCCCUGACUCCUUGAGAGUCCUGAAGGAACGUUGAAGACGACGACGUUGAUAGGCCGGGUGUGUAAGCGCAGCGAUGCGUUGAGCUAACCGGUACUAAUGAACCGUGAGGCUUAACCUU